RNAcentral lists this ribosomal RNA (681 nucleotides) under uncultured bacterium. RNAcentral describes it as "bacterial SSU rRNA". It matches the Rfam family "Bacterial small subunit ribosomal RNA", at positions 62 to 722 of the family's 1533-position model. The record is from RNAcentral.
UCGAACGCGAAAGUUCCGCAAGGAAUUAGUAGAGUGGCAAACGGGUGAGUAACACGUGGGUGACCUGCCUUCGAGUGGGGGAUAACGUCCCGAAAGGGACGCUAAUACCGCAUAAUAUCCUGCCUUUUAAGAGGUGGAAAUCAAAGCCGGGGAUCGCAAGACCUGGCGCUUGAAGAGGGGCCCGCGUCCGAUUAGCUAGUUGGUGGGGUAACGGCUCACCAAGGCGACGAUCGGUAGCCGGCCUAAGAGGGCGGACGGCCACACUGGGACUGAGACACGGCCCAGACUCCUACGGGAGGCAGCAGUGGGGAAUUGUUCGCAAUGGGCGCAAGCCUGACGACGCAACGCCGCGUGGAGGAUGAAGACCUUCGGGUCGUAAACUCCUUUCGAUCGAGACGAAUGGCCCCUGGGUUAAUAGCCUGGGGGAGUGACGGUACCGAGAGAAGAAGCCCCGGCUAACUCCGUGCCAGCAGCCGCGGUAAUACGGGGGGGGCAAGCGUUGUUCGGAAUUACUGGGCGUAAAGGGCUCGUAGGCGGCCAACUAAGUCAGACGUGAAAUCCCUCGGCUUAACCGGGGAACUGCGUCUGAUACUGGAUGGCUUGAAUCCGGGAGAGGGAUGCGGAAUUCCAGGUGUAGCGGUGAAAUGCGUAGAUAUCUGGAGGAACACCGGUGGCGAAGGC